Molecule: transfer RNA, 74 nt
Filed under: Oscillospiraceae bacterium
Lineage: Bacteria; Bacillati; Bacillota; Clostridia; Eubacteriales; Oscillospiraceae
Description: tRNA-Val
Rfam family: tRNA
About the family: Transfer RNA (tRNA) molecules are approximately 80 nucleotides in length. Their secondary structure includes four short double-helical elements and three loops (D, anti-codon, and T loops).
Source: RNAcentral
GGAAGCAUAGCUCAGCUGGUUAGAGCGCUGCGUUCACAUCGCAGAGGCCGCGGGUUCGAGUCCCUCUGUUUCCA